This 119-nucleotide small RNA is filed under the name Arabidopsis thaliana (thale cress). RNAcentral's name for it is "ATSL235960". The record is from RNAcentral. Lineage: Eukaryota; Viridiplantae; Streptophyta; Magnoliopsida; Brassicales; Brassicaceae.
AAUAGUUUGUUUGUUGUCCACAAUAGAUAAAACUAGAUUUUAACCCGCGGUAUACCGCGAGACGAUUUAUUUUUAAAAAAUAAUAUAUAUUAAAACUUGCAAAUUUUAUUUUUAUAAAA